GCGUCUUUAGUCCUUCGCGUAGGGGAUGGCCCACGCCUGGUAAAAAGAAUAAAAAUAGAAAAGAUCAGCUCAAUCAAUCACUGCUUGUAAUAAUUGUAGUGUAUACGCAUGACGUAGAAGUACACGUGUCAACGGUGUCAUGAUGUACAGGUAGUUUUGAAAUAAUUAAUUGAAGCCAAAAAAAUUUCAAUAAAAUCGGCAACACCCAAUGCAAUUACCGGUAUGGACUUGAUAAAGUUAGUUUGCAGUGAUGAUUGAAUGCCUGUUUGUCCUCAGCAGCCUUCUUCCAGUUCCUGUAGAUUAAUCGUUUUUGCCCGAGGAUAGAGCAUAACUCUCAACAUCUCCAUAAUUUCUAUUGCGAAGUGGAGUCUGUAUUUCGCUGGGGAUCUUAGUUGCGAUCUAUCAAGAUGACUGAAGAAGAAUCUCUGCUGGAAUUUGCCAUUUCGAUGCCCUUAUUCCUGACGUUCUCUUUAAUGUCCCUUUGUCUGAUUACAUCUCUGUUCUUCGUGGGAUGGUACCUGCUAUACAAGUUUGUCCUGAGCCGACACUUUCCUUUUCUGAAAGGCUUCGUGCAAGCCUUGCUAGGCACACAAGAUGAAGAAAGACCGACAUCCAAAACCCUAGAGAAGGAGAAUUCGCAUAAGAAGGAGCAGUAGUGCUCACAUUGCUCUUACACAGUAGAAAGCCAAGUGCAAGUGUGUGUCAGUUAUCAGGCACCAUCAGGUCCAGGCGCGGGCGAAAAAUGGAUAUUCUAGAUAACAGAGCUACAUCUUCUGUUACCACAUCAAACGAACUGUGAUGCGUGAGUGUAUCUGUGAUGUGUGCGAUGUGUGCCUUCUUAGCACCGAGGCAUUCAUCGUGUUCAUCUACACGAACAGGUUGUGUUGUGCUUAUCUAUGUAUUUCUUUCAUUCUCUUCUUUCUGUACAUACUGACUUAUACACGGAAAGUUGGGUGUGGUCCUCGAAAGAGUGCUCAAUGCACCGGGGUGCAGAGCUUCAUACAAAAAGAAUAGAAUGGGAUACGGAGCUUGGGUUGCAUGCUGACAGAAGGGUGAACAUCAACAAGCGAUCGGAGCUAGUGGCCAAGUGCAGACAUGAGAACAAAUUCUACCUAUCUAACUUCACACCUCCAGUUACAUAAACCAGGAUUACACCUGAUGUCUGGCGCUGAUCUUGCAAGUACAUGCAUAGAAUCACCGCUUGACCUUAUUUGCGCUUAAAUUCUCUGAUUCCACUAGCACCUUUAUACCACACUAUAUCAAGAACAUUCAUUGAGUUUUUGUAAUCACUGCUGUCUGAUGAUCGCCACAGGCGUGAAACUCUGAGUCACAGCCAACCCAAGCUCCGUAUCCCAUUCUAUUCUUUUUGUACUGACUUAUAUGAUUGUACAGUCAUGUAAUGCUGCAUAAAGCCAACAUUCACGAUAUUCACUGUCCGCAUUGCUUGAAGUAGGACCGCAGAUAUAGUGCAAGAGCUAUCAGUGCACUGUCGCUUGAGCAACAUGCAGCUGUAGCUGCAGUACUGCCAUCCUGCCUUGUACAUGUGGCAGCUAACUGUACAAAGCUGGCUUAUUCUAUGUCACAUUGAACAUCAGAUUCAACAGAUUGGUAUCUUACUCUCUUACUCUCUAACGGUUCGAAUUUUCCACUUGCUUAUUUCCAUUGGACCUUCACACCAAACCUUGA
Long non-coding RNA from Sycon ciliatum, 1686 nucleotides. RefSeq lists it as uncharacterized. The record is from RefSeq and is a predicted model, not a curated record. NCBI's taxonomy places the organism in Eukaryota, Metazoa, Porifera, Calcarea, Leucosolenida, Sycettidae. The transcript has 2 exons.